GACGAACGCUGGCGGCGUGCUUAACACAUGCAAGUCGAACGGACCCUUUGGGGUUAGUGGCGAACGGGUGAGUAACACGUGGGUGAUCUGCCCUGCACUUUGGGAUAAGCCUGGGAAACUGGGUCUAAUACCGGAUAGGACUACGCACUGCAUGGUGUGUGGUGGAAAGCUUUUGCGGUGUGGGAUGGGCCCGCGGCCUAUCAGCUUGUUGGUGGGGUGAUGGCCUACCAAGGCGACGACGGGUAGCCGGCCUGAGAGGGUGACCGGCCACACUGGGACUGAGAUACGGCCCAGACUCCUACGGGAGGCAGCAGUGGGGAAUAUUGCACAAUGGGCGCAAGCCUGAUGCAGCGACGCCGCGUGAGGGAUGACGGCCUUCGGGUUGUAAACCUCUUUCGCCAGGGACGAAGCGCAAGUGACGGUACCUGGAGAAGAAGGACCGGCCAACUACGUGCCAGCAGCCGCGGUAAUACGUAGGGUCCGAGCGUUGUCCGGAAUUACUGGGCGUAAAGAGCUCGUAGGUGGUUUGUCGCGUUGUUCGUGAAAACUCACAGCUUAACUGUGGGCGUGCGGGCGAUACGGGCAGACUGGAGUACUGCAGGGGAGACUGGAAUUCCUGGUGUAGCGGUGGAAUGCGCAGAUAUCAGGAGGAACACCGGUGGCGAAGGCGGGUCUCUGGGCAGUAACUGACGCUGAGGAGCGAAAGCGUGGGGAGCGAACAGGAUUAGAUACCCUGGUAGUCCACGCCGUAAACGGUGGGUACUAGGUGUGGGUUUCCUUCCUUGGGAUCCGUGCCGUAGCUAACGCAUUAAGUACCCCGCCUGGGGAGUACGGCCGCAAGGCUAAAACUCAAAGGAAUUGACGGGGGCCCGCACAAGCGGCGGAGCAUGUGGAUUAAUUCGAUGCAACGCGAAGAACCUUACCUGGGUUUGACAUGCACAGGACGCCGGCAGAGAUGUCGGUUCCCUUGUGGCCUGUGUGCAGGUGGUGCAUGGCUGUCGUCAGCUCGUGUCGUGAGAUGUUGGGUUAAGUCCCGCAACGAGCGCAACCCUUGUCUCAUGUUGCCAGCACGUUAUGGUGGGGACUCGUGAGAGACUGCCGGGGUCAACUCGGAGGAAGGUGGGGAUGACGUCAAGUCAUCAUGCCCCUUAUGUCCAGGGCUUCACACAUGCUACAAUGGCCGGUACAAAGGGCUGCGAUGCCGUGAGGCGGAGCGAAUCCUUUCAAAGCCGGUCUCAGUUCGGAUCGGGGUCUGCAACUCGACCCCGUGAAGUCGGAGUCGCUAGUAAUCGCAGAUCAGCAACGCUGCGGUGAAUACGUUCCCGGGCCU
This 1330-nucleotide ribosomal RNA is filed under the name uncultured bacterium. RNAcentral describes it as "bacterial SSU rRNA". It matches the Rfam family "Bacterial small subunit ribosomal RNA", at positions 28 to 1381 of the family's 1533-position model. The record is from RNAcentral.